Molecule: ribosomal RNA, 549 nt
Filed under: uncultured Glomus
Lineage: Eukaryota; Fungi; Glomeromycota; Glomeromycetes; Glomerales; Glomeraceae
Description: SSU rRNA
Rfam family: Eukaryotic small subunit ribosomal RNA
Source: RNAcentral
UUGGAGGGCAAGUCUGGUGCCAGCAGCCGCGGUAAUUCCAGCUCCAAUAGCGUAUAUUUAAGUUGUUGCAGUUAAAAAGCUCGUAGAUGAAUUUCGAGAUCAGUACGCUGGUCGUGCCUUCGGUAUGCACUGGUGUCACUGGUUUCUCCCUUCUGAAGAACCGUCAUGUCAUUAAGUUGGUGUGGCGGGGAAUCAGGACUGUUACUUUGAAAAAAUUAGAGUGUUUAAAGCAGGCUCGCGCUUGAAUACACUAGCAUGGAAUAAUGAAAUAGGACGUUUGACCCUAUUUUGUUGGUUUCUAGGAUCGACGUAAUGAUUAAUAGGGAUAGUUGGGGGCAUUAGUAUUCAAUUGUCAGAGGUGAAAUUCUUGGAUUUAUUGAAGACUAACUACUGCGAAAGCAUUUGCCAAGGAUGUUUUCAUUAAUCAAGAACGAAAGUUAGGGGAUCGAAGACGAUCAGAUACCGUCGUAGUCUUAACCAUAAACUAUGCCGACUAGGGAUCGGAUGAUGUUAAUUUUUUAAUGACUCAUUCGGCGCCUUACGGGAAAC